Molecule: ribosomal RNA, 467 nt
Filed under: uncultured bacterium
Lineage: Bacteria
Description: partial 16S ribosomal RNA
Rfam family: Bacterial small subunit ribosomal RNA
Source: RNAcentral
GACGAACGCUGGCGGCGUGCUUAACACAUGCAAGUCGAACGGAAAGGCCUCUUUCGGGGGGUACUCGAGUGGCGAACGGGUGAGUAACACGUGAGUAACCUGCCCUUGACUUUGGGAUAACUUCAGGAAACUGGGGCUAAUACCGGAUAGGAGCUCCUGCUGCAUGGUGGGGGUUGGAAAGUUUCGGCGGUUGGGGAUGGACUCGCGGCUUAUCAGCUUGUUGGUGGGGUAGUGGCUUACCAAGGCUUUGACGGGUAGCCGGCCUGAGAGGGUGACCGGCCACAUUGGGACUGAGGUACGGCCCAGACUCCUACGGGAGGCAGACGUGGGGAAUAUUGCACAAUGGGUGGAAGCCUGAUGCAGCAACGCCGUGUGCGGGAUGACGGCCUUCGGGUUGGAAACCGCUUUCGCUCAUGACGAAGCUUUGUGUGACGGUAGUGGGUAAAGAAGCACCGGCUAACUACGUG